GCACCUUCAGCAGCAAAUCCUGCCUGCAAACACAUUUGCAGUAAGUUUUUAAGAAUAAGUAUGAUCAUUGAGAUGUUUAAAGAAAGUAACACUGCACAUUUUUAUUGCAUUUCACCUCAAUUAGGUUGGAAAAACAGCCAGUGUGUUUCCUGCACAAGGGUCACGUAUGGGGAUAGCUAGGUUAGGACCUGAGCCAGUAAAUGAGUAGCAGGUGAGAAGGUGUGGCUAACCUAGGGCACACAGGUGCAAGCAAUGCACCAGGGCAACCAGAAGGAGUGGAAUGUGGGUCCACCCCUCCUCACUCUCACUUAAGGGUUAGCUGAAGAAGCAGGAUCUCUAUUUGGAGAUUGCCCACUCUGGAAUGCUCAGCAACCUUCAGAAAAGGUUACCACAGGGAAACUUACCAUCAACCGGAGGUACUGCCAUUUCUCAGAGACUUCACCACAGUUCCCACAUUUCAGCUGAAAAAUACCAUAAAUCGGAGAGAAUUGAUGUGUGUCGGAUGCAACAUGUGUUGUGAGAUGCAGGCACUAAGUGGAAGGUGGGAAGGACACAGCGUGUCACUGACUGCAGCUGUCUGCCGGGGAUGUCAGGCUCGGCAUCUGCCUCAGCAGUGCAGGAAACAGCAUGUUUGGUUAUACUGAGGGGGAUGGAGGACUGCUUUACACUUCCUUCUCAAAAUAUAUGGAUUUCAACUUCAGAGGAUUCACUCGGAUGCUUUGUUGUACCUUCAGUCGCAGAGCUGAUGUGCCUCAGGCAAGGCACAUAGCAGCCCUUGUAGAACCACUCUGUUAGUAAACUGGAGUUGCUUUUCUUGAGCUCCAUAUAGUAUACAGGAAAAAGUCUGUUAAUUCAUAUUAAAACUUGGCUAAAGUUAAAUUAAACUUGCUGCACUGCAGGAAAG
This is a long non-coding RNA of Gallus gallus (chicken), 904 nucleotides long. RefSeq lists it as uncharacterized. The record is from RefSeq and is a predicted model, not a curated record. NCBI's taxonomy places the organism in Eukaryota, Metazoa, Chordata, Aves, Galliformes, Phasianidae. The transcript has 3 exons.